This 256-nucleotide ribosomal RNA is filed under the name uncultured bacterium. Its description in RNAcentral is "partial 16S ribosomal RNA". It matches the Rfam family "Bacterial small subunit ribosomal RNA", at positions 521 to 776 of the family's 1533-position model. The record is from RNAcentral.
UAAAACGUAGGAGGCGAGCGUUAUCCGGAUUUACUGGGCGUAAAGCGUGUGCAGGCGGUUUGAUAAGUUGGAUGUGAAAGCUCCUGGCUUAACCGGGAGAGGUCGUUCAAAACUAUCAGACUAGAGAGUGGUAGAGGGAGAUGGAAUUCCGCGUGUAGUGGUGAAAUGCGUAGAUAUGCGGAGGAACACCAGUGGCGAAAGCGGUCUCCUGGCCCAUUUCUGACGCUCAGACACGAAAGCUAAGGUAGCAAACGGG